This 489-nucleotide ribosomal RNA is filed under the name Triticum aestivum (bread wheat). RNAcentral's name for it is "partial small subunit ribosomal RNA". Lineage: Eukaryota; Viridiplantae; Streptophyta; Magnoliopsida; Poales; Poaceae. The record is from RNAcentral.
AUGAGGCCGGGAAGGCCCAGAUCUGGGCCGGGGACGCGCCGCCGGCCACCGCACGCCACCACGCCGCCCUGCUGCCAAGGGCAGCACCACCACCGCGCCUACCGCCGGCCCCCGUCCCGGACCAGGGAGACGCGCGCGCGGGGAGAGGAGGUCCUGCCGCCGCCGGCACCCCCCCGGGCCGGAGCCAGGGGCGCCCACCGGCAACGGCAGGGGAGGGGAAGGGCGGAUCGACGCCGAGAGCAGCGGCGCAGGGGCCGCCCCGGCCGCCUCCCGGGGAGGCGGCGCGGGGGCGGAAGGAGGGGGAGGGGAGGAGGGGCGGGGGGAGGAAGGGCCGGAUCCGGGCCGCGCGCCGGCGAGGGAGGCCGGAUCCCGCCGGCGACGAGCGGGGAAGGGCGGCAGCGGCUAGGGUUGCGGGACGGGAGCGGGUCCGAGACUAAGUUUUCCUUCGCCGCUGUAGUCAAUUCCUCUGGCCUACCAGCUUUGUCUUAG